AAUAGUUCAUCUCUAGUUAUAAAGAAACUAACAAAGGCAGGGAUGACAAAAAGAAGACUGAAGGAGCUGUGUUAUAAUUGCGAUGAGCCGUUUGUUUCAGAUCACCUAUGUAAACGUCUAUUUUGACUCGAGAUUGAAUGUGAUAUUGGAUAAUAAGAAAAAACCAAUGAAACAGCUACAUCCACAUUCCAAGCUUGAGGACAAAUUUGAAAACCAGGGGGGAACAAUGUUAUGGAUGCAAAUAUGGAAGAUGUAAUAAGAAUAAGAAAUUGGCGUUCAAUUAAAUAGUUAGAAUCUUAAUUAGUAUUAGAUCUCUAAAUAGUGUAGGUUUUCUUAUAUUUUAGUAGAGUAUUCUUAAUUAGAUUUAGAUUCUAAAUUAUAUUAAUAUUUUUAAAUAAAAAUUGUAAAUUACAUAUAAAGGGGAAUGCUUGUUAUUAAUAAAAUAAGUAAGAAUAUUAUUUUAAAAUACGAGAUUGAAGUUCUCUCUAAUGAGGUUCAAGGUAGCAAUUCUAUUUGAUGAGUUAUAAUCUAUUUUCAUAAAAUAUGCCGCUCAAGAAAUCGUAACAAGGAGAAGAAGCAGACUAUGGAAUCAGAAAUUUCAGUUAACCACCCAGUAACAAGAUCUUGGUCUUGGGAACAUAAUAGGGUAGAAGAGGGAAUUAAGGAAAUAACAACAAAAAUUAACAAGGGCAAAAAGGGGUAAUUGUAUGGGAAGCAACAAGAUUCAUUAAGAUAGUAGUUGGAAUAUUAAAGGGUUGAGUUGCGGGAUCAAGUGAAAGAAAAUCUAGAAAGUUGUUAAUAGGUGCGUCUUGAUAUUAAAAAAAAAAGGGUGUUUCUUGAUAUAUUACUGUUAUAGGGAACGGAAAACAUGCAUGUCGAUAGGAUGAUCGUUGCUAGUAUUUGGGAUUUAAGUUUUGAAGAUUGGCUAGUUGCUCUAUCAUCAGGUACUUCUGUUGGCAUGCUCAUGACAUUGGGAUAACAGGGUUACUGGUAGAGUGGAUGUAAUUGAAGGAUCUUUCUUGUUGUCCGUGUUACUUGAUGUGAAAGGGAAAGGAUCCUGAUGGGAGAAAUUUUCCUACCUUUCAAGGUUGUGUAAUCUUUGUUAGUGUAUCAAGGUUGAUAUUAACGCUUGCAGAUUUGCCCCCAAAAAGUUAGGAGGUGGCAAAGAAACAAGGACUAAUAGAGGUUUUAAUGCAUUUAUACAUGAUUAUGAGUUACGAGAGUUACCAUUAAAUAAUGCUCAAUUCACGUGGACUAUGAGAGGGUUUAAUGUAUUUCCUUAAGGCAUCUAGAGGUCUUAGAAAUACCCUUCUCCCC
RNAcentral lists this long non-coding RNA (1317 nucleotides) under Carica papaya (papaya). Its description in RNAcentral is "long non-coding RNA (CPAP_LNC013805)". The record is from RNAcentral. Lineage: Eukaryota; Viridiplantae; Streptophyta; Magnoliopsida; Brassicales; Caricaceae.